GCGCCGUCCCGCCGCGCGCACGGGCGCGCGCGGUCGCCUGCGCUUCCCCAGGCGUGUGGGCACGCACAUACCUGCACGCACGCACGCACGCACGCACCCCGCGCGAGCCCGCGUGCAGGGCGGCGCGGUGCCGCGGUGAGGAGGGGUGCGAGUCCCUCCCGCUCGCGGGGGGGCUGCGGUGCCGGGCCGGGGCCCGCCCCCACCCCACCGCGGGGCGCGACCCCGAGGCAGCGACACGGGGACCGCGGCAAAGGGGUCGUCGGUCCCAGCGUCCCGGCGUGCCGUGCCUGACGCGGGGUGGGGGCCGGCUGCCGCCCAUCCCCGUGGGCUCGCGGCCCGCCCCGGGGCGACAGGGGGAAUAUUCCGGAGGUGGGUCUGGCCGUUUUUCACGAGGGACGUUUGGCUGGAAGAGACGGUGCUAACAACGUGUCCUCGAAGUCGGCAUUGACACCCACCGCGUUUCGGACGGGGCACGAGCCCGCUCGGCCUCGAACGGGGGGGUCAGCGGGAAGAUGGGAGUUUUCCGACGUCCGAACCCAUCCCUGCGCAUGCGAGUGGGUGCAGCUGGAAGAGCCUGAAGAAACACUGGAUUUCGUCAUUCGCGAAAGGAUACCUUCCACUUCAGAAAUGUCAACGUGUUUUGUUUCAACACCUUCUUAGGGUGUUUUGAUGUUUUCAACUUUUUGUUUUAAAAUAACUUUUAAAAAAAAAUUUUAAAAGCAGUCUACUAUUUUCUCAUUUGUUAUUUCUUUUUCUUAAAUACUCACCAAAACAAAAUGUUGACAGUAUAAUGGCUUUACCAAAAUGCCUGAUCUGCAGUAAAAUAAUUAGAUUACCUUGUACAAAUGUUUUGCUCUGUCCCCGAAUGAGAUCUUUUCUGCUUUGAUUUUACUGGAAAAACCUCGAACGCUUUUACACUCUUUUUAAAUUUUUAUUUUUUACUCCACCUCUGGUAUUUCAUUAACUUACUGAGCUGAAAAAAGCCAUUUUUCACACCGGGCGGGUAGUACCUGCACUUGGGAUUUGCUGUGUUUUACCCAAUCUUGGCCACCUCCUCCAUCCAGGGAGCUUGUGUGCCUCUCCUCUCCCUGCCUGCUUUCUGCCUCGCCCACAUCGGGCAUUACAAGGUUCAAAAUUAGGCAAAAACAUAGAGGGAAACGUGUUUUUCUUAUUUUUUUUUUUCAUUUAAAAUAAAAAGUCUUAAUUUGCUUUACUUAAAAGGCAAGCAAAUGUAUCAUUUCCUGUAAUAUAGAAUCAAUGAUGAUAAUAUAAAUAGAAGAAUAAUACGGUAAUAUAUAAGGACCACACAAAAAGUGCAACUGCCUAAAAAUAAACCAGCAUCAGACUAUC
Molecule: non-coding RNA, 1350 nt
Organism: Phalacrocorax carbo (great cormorant)
Lineage: Eukaryota; Metazoa; Chordata; Aves; Suliformes; Phalacrocoracidae
Source: RefSeq, a predicted model, not a curated record